RNAcentral lists this ribosomal RNA (504 nucleotides) under uncultured bacterium. RNAcentral describes it as "partial 16S ribosomal RNA". It matches the Rfam family "Bacterial small subunit ribosomal RNA", at positions 28 to 507 of the family's 1533-position model. The record is from RNAcentral.
GACGAACGCUGGCGGCGUGCCUAAUACAUGCAAGUAGAACGCACAGUUUAUACCGUAGCUUGCUACACCAUAGACUGUGAGUUGCGAACGGGUGAGUAACGCGUAGGUAACCUGCCUGGUAGCGGGGGAUAACUAUUGGAAACGAUAGCUAAUACCGCAUAAUAUUAAUUAUUGCAUGAUAAUUAAUUGAAAGGUGCAAUUGCACCACUACCAGAUGGACCUGCGUUGUAUUAGCUAGUAGGUGAGGUAACGGCUCACCUAGGCGACGAUACAUAGCCGACCUGAGAGGGUGAUCGGCCACACUGGGACUGAGACACGGCCCAGACUCCUACGGGAGGCAGCAGUAGGGAAUCUUCGGCAAUGGACGAAAGUCUGACCGAGCAACGCCGCGUGAGUGAAGAAGGUUUUCGGAUCGUAAGCUCUGUUGUAAGAGAAGAACGGGUGUGAGAGUGGAAAGUUCACACUGUGACGGUAUCUUACCAGAAAGGGACGGCUAACUACGUG